RNAcentral lists this long non-coding RNA (1039 nucleotides) under Gossypium barbadense (sea-island cotton). Its description in RNAcentral is "long non-coding RNA (GBAR_LNC016633)". Lineage: Eukaryota; Viridiplantae; Streptophyta; Magnoliopsida; Malvales; Malvaceae. The record is from RNAcentral.
CACGAGGUGCCUCCAGGAUCGUGCGACGGAACGGGCACCGUACGUAGCCCAGGGCCACCAGAACUAGAGGAUCGACCAUAAACGUCAUCGUGUAGCCUUUGGCCAUCAACAACAGAGAAAAAUCGCGCCGUGGUUGAAGCGUUCGGACCACCAUAGUCGCGAUUGAAUUGAUAGAAACAUCACUGUGCCAAGUGACCGUAUCUGCCGCAAAUUUGACAUUGUGUUCGAGGAUGAAACCCGCGACCACUCCACAAAUCUAGGCGAAGCAGGUAACGUGCCCUCUAGAAACCCUUGCAACUCAUAUCCUUCUAUAAUGAGUCGAACAUGAUGUUGCCAUUGAACAAAGUUUCCCUCAUCUAGUUUCACUGUAUCAUGACAAGGAAACGAUUGAACCAGUCUCGCACUGGAAAAAGAUGAACUGGUAGGAUCAACAGUAGUAGAAUCUAUGGAAUAAGCCAUGAAUUGAUUACGGAAGAUUGCACCAGGAACUAGACGACUGAUACCGUGUUAGGUACUACACUAUUACAAGAAUAGAUUUUAGAGAGAAAGAAUUUUUUCUGAGAAAUUAGUAUUAUUAUCUACUUUAAUCAAUACACUAUCAAUGUUUAUAUACUUCAAUAUGAGUAACUGCUCCUAACCAACUAUACCAGACUAAUCAACUGAAUGAUAACAAACUAACAAAUCUUAUGUUAACAAUAUCUAUUCUUCUAACAUUGUCUAUUUAUGCUUUUGAAAUGCUGACUUGUACUACUAUUUCCAACCCUCUUUUCCUUUAUUUUUUUUCAAGCCUUAUACUAUCCCUAAUCAGCCCUUAAAUUUCCCUCCUUGUGCCGCCCAAAGCAGCCCUCGUGUGUGCCAUCCAUGGUAAUGUGUCGCCAUUUUAAACACCACUUUGGAGUUGCUGUUUUUCUCUCUUUAGCCGUAUCUUUCAAGAAAAUAAAAAUUAUUGUUCUACUCGUCUAAUCAAUAUUUAAUUGUGUCUUUUUCAGGUGUAUUCGAUUCCCUUCGUUCAAUGAUUUCGAAAUAGUUAACGGGUAGU